GAAGUAUCCUCUGAGUAUGUUGCCAUC
RNAcentral lists this small RNA (27 nucleotides) under Bombyx mori (domestic silkworm). RNAcentral's name for it is "ovarian small RNA-15265". Lineage: Eukaryota; Metazoa; Arthropoda; Insecta; Lepidoptera; Bombycidae. The record is from RNAcentral.